This is an RNA transcript of Toxotes jaculatrix (banded archerfish), 3712 nucleotides long. It is a transcript of the gene named platelet-derived growth factor alpha polypeptide b, with no coding region annotated. NCBI's taxonomy places the organism in Eukaryota, Metazoa, Chordata, Actinopteri, Toxotidae. The record is from RefSeq and is a predicted model, not a curated record. The transcript has 7 exons.
CACUUCAGAGUCCUACACAGUCAAGGAGCUGUGCAGACUGCUGCAAGACAGGCUCUGGAUAGCACAACACGGACAACUUUCCCCGUUGUGAUUUCCUGAGAGGAUCUGUUCGUUUGGAUUAUAUUCUUUUAGGACUAUUAAAUACUAUCAUAGAAAAAAAAAAAAAAGCCGUGCGUCUUAACACUAAUUCUAAUACUGCCCAGAAGAAGGGGAGCUGCGUUUCUUGUUUGAUAUGUAAGAAAACUGGGCUGAAGUUUGAAGCCUGUUUGUUAGAGGGUGAAGGACAAGUGCAAUGCGUGUCUGACUUGUCUCUUGGGAUUGUCCCACUUGCGCCUGAGGAGCUAUGUCGUACUGCCGCACAGAGCUUGUUCAAGAGGACGCAGUCCAAUGUGAAUAACAAGAGUCAACUUCCAGCCUCUUCAGCUUUUCACACUUACAAGCAAGUGCAGCACGGAGUCUUGACUGAGCCCGUUGAGCAGCUCUGACACCCCGGUUUCUCUCCCUCGAGGGGAUGGUUGUGGAUCCUCUGGGGCCAGGAGCGACUCUGCGGCUCCUACAGAAUAGCACAUUUUUCUUGUUUGGGGUUAAUUCUAAAUUAAAGGGAAAUGAGAGCCGCACUUUGCUACUUCCUGCUGUGGACGGCGUACCUGCUGCUGGCCACCGCUGAGGAAGUGGAGUUUCCCCAGGAGCUGAUAGACAGACUGUCCCACAGCGAAAUCCACAGCAUCAGCGACCUCCAGCGGUUACUGGAGAUUGACUCCGUAGGUACGGGAAACGAUGUUAUCGAGGAGCCCAAGCACCACAAACACCACAACCACCAUAAGAACUACUCCCGUCAUCAUGGUCACUACAGUGACCUAAAGAGCUCCCAGCUCCACAGCCGACGCAAGAGGAGUAUCGUGGAGGAGGCGGUCCCGGCGGUGUGUAAGACACGGACGGUGAUCUACGAGAUCCCCAGGAGCCAGGUGGAUCCCACAUCUGCCAACUUCCUGAUAUGGCCUCCCUGUGUGGAGGUGAAGCGCUGCACAGGCUGCUGCAACACCAGCAACAUGCGCUGUCACCCUUCCCGCAAGCAUCACCGCACCGUUAAGGUGGCCAAGGUGGAGUAUGUGAGGAGGAGACCCAAACUGAAAGAGGUCUUUGUACGGUUAGAAGACCACCUGGAGUGUGUGUGCACGUCACAACAUCAUGCGGUGGAGCAAUCAGAACCAGAAACAGGCCACCGUAGGGCUAAAGGUAAAAAAAGGAAACCUAAAAAGCUAAGGCCCAGCAAGGAUUUAUUGGCGACAUAAUAAAGUUGCACUCAUUACCCAAAGUCCACUGGAGAGCUGUGAAGGGAACAGUGGACGUGAGGUGAGACCAAUUCGAGCAAGGGACUUCAGUGUGGGAGGGACCUAAGUAGAGGAUGUCACCAACAGGAGACCUGCUCUUUCCUCUUCCCCACCGCCGUGCAACCUUCCUUUAAAAAACACAAACAUUUCUGUAAAGAUGAGAGACUGAAAAAUAGACAACAGACAAAAUAAAUAAGAUGCCAAAGGUGCUUUUUUAAAAAAACAAACAAACAAAAAAACCCAGAAAACAAUAACCAGUGAUGACGACUUCCUCUGUGGUACGCCACCUACCCAGACAACUGAACCCUGCCGCUUAUUAAGAAGAAAAGAGUAAUAUGCUGUGGAGCAUGAGCAGGGCAGAAAGAGGCUGAAGGGAGAUGAUGAAAGGGAUUUGUGUUGAACAUUUUGACAGACUUUGUUUGAACAAGACGCACAACAGAAAUGGCUAUGAAACAGUUUUCGUGGGAAUCUGGUGCUCAGACUCCAAAACAGCGGUGUAUGACCUCCAGCUGGGCAACAUAAAAGUUCCCUGUCCUGACUAAAUGACUCUUGCAUACACAGGAAGAAAGAAAGAGAGACACAGGAAAAUAAUGGAAAACGCUGGAGUUAUGGAGGUGUUUUGUUUUUUUUGAAAGACUCUAUAGAGCAUCAAACAUUUUGAGUUUUUGGAUGUUUUGCUCUGAGUAAAGAGGAAAUCUUCUCUGAGACCCCUGCUGGUCUGUGACUUUGCCCACCUGCUAUGUACAGUUAAAUCUGAAAUGGAUGCACCGCUACUUACAAACUAUUUAUACAUGUGGAUGUUUGCUUUCUGUCUCUUCCAGUACAAAAGAAAGAAAGAACAAAAAAGAUGUUUUUAUGAUUUGGAGACCUUCAAGAGUCGUGUGUGGUCUGGUUCAUUGUAACCAUCAGUAUCACAAUCUCAAUGUCAUUUUUUUAGUCGUUACUCUUGUCAUCCAUGUUUCUUAUUAUAUUACAGUAUAUCUGAAUGAUGUCAAGUCUUGUAUAUGGUUUGGAUAUAUGUGUGCAAGGAGGAGAUGUGAGAGUCAGUACAGGAAGAUGCUUUAUUUUUGUUAUGAAAUAUAUCAUGCUUACUUAUAUCCAAGCAGGAAUUAUGUUUAAUUCUUUUGUUGUGGUUGAAUGCCUGUAUUUAAUCCAUUGGGAAAGGUGGGAGGGAGUGGAAUGGAUAAGGGAAAAAAGGCUGCCAGUGCUUUUAAAUGUGUGUGCAUUAGUGCGUCAAGGCUGUGAAAAGGUGGGACAGACUGGCUCAAACAUGGCAACUUCAGAGAGAGUGGCUAUACUGUGGCUUCCUCCACUGCCAUGAUGAGCUCUACCAAAACCUUUAUGUAACAAGUGAUGUUUCACACAAACGUACAAAAAACACAUUAGAGUGUGUGCAUGCCAAUCCCAUAAACACACAAAAAUGUUAGAGCAACUCUAGUGUGCAAGCAUGCAUGUCCAAGGUGGGAUAGACAGGGUGUGUGUGUGCUCACACACGAUUUCUCUGCUACAUGAGGCUAUUUCUCAUCCAUAUCACUGUAACGCUGAUAAGGAAGAUGCCCGCCCGGUCCGCUUCACAAACACACAUGUUGUGCCUGCCAAGAGCAAAGUCCACCUUAAAGAGUGAAUGAGCGAGCAAAGCAAAUCGACAAGUGCAUGAAUGGGCUCCUUGUUUAGCCAGUCUUUACUCCUGUGUUGACAGGAGAACAAAUCUCUGAUCGCUCCACCCUUUGAAGGGACACACACCUUAUGCAGCCACAUACCAUCAGGACAGAUGAUGGGUGCUCUGAGGUGGCCUGAAACCAGCACAGUGCUGCCUUAAACCUGUGAUCCUGAUGGAGUCAACAAUUACUUCCUUACCAGUUCCUGUAAAUGUGAUGAAUGUGUAACCAGGCUAACAUGGUGCAGAAAACAACGCUUGUCUUCCACCCUGUGUUCAAAAGAGGAAGUUUGACAGAGAUUUUUUUUUACAGCAGUCAGAGGCAAAACAGUGAGUCACUGUGAGGUGAGUCAAGUGAAAGUUGAAAGAGAAAAGUUUGACUGAACCAUGGGUGUAUCAGCUCCUGCUGAGCUGUGAACAUCAGAUCUUACACACACAAACACACACACACAGUCCAUCUGUGAAUUAAAUAACCAUCAGUUAACUGGUGCUAUAUUUAUAAGGCUGAUGUUUCAUCACUGUUCACAUCAAUGUAAGAUUGUGUUCUCAGUAAACCAGGGACCACGCUUAAAGCUAUUUGAUGAAAGAAAAUGCCAUUACGCUAUCACUACUCUAUCACUAAGCCUUCGCUACUUUUCUUUUGGGCUUCCAUUGGAUAAAUACAGCAGUAAUCAUAAUUUAUAUAUUUAUGUUUUCAACAAUAAAUAUAUUUCUGCUUAUGAAA